Molecule: long non-coding RNA, 1387 nt
Filed under: Prunus dulcis (almond)
Lineage: Eukaryota; Viridiplantae; Streptophyta; Magnoliopsida; Rosales; Rosaceae
Description: sRNA ncRNA
Source: RNAcentral
UUCUCUCCUUCACGUUUCAAGCUACACGCAGACGCCGCCACCAUCCCUCCUCUCACCUUCUCAAUCUGAUCGGUUUUUCCAUUGAAGAAACCUGUGACCAAGACCUCUCCACUGAAGGUGAGUUCUUUCUGUUCCCUGUAUAAUCAAUUUUAUACAUUGUUUCUUCCAGUCUCUAAUUACAUUUUUCUUGAUAUUGAAUUUAUGCUCUGCAACUUGCAUCUCUGUUUGCAUUUUUUGUUGAACGAUUUACUCCCUUUUUUUUGGGCCUUUUGUAAAAUUAUUGAGUUCAUUAUAUUCCUAUGCAAUUUGAAGUGAUUAAAUUCAUGUUUUGGGUACGUAAAGCUCUGACCACAAUGAAACACACAUAUGCAUAGUGCUUAAAGCUGCUUUUGACUUCAUUGAACUUUUGGUUCUAUCAAGUCAUUAGUGAUUUUUUGUUUGGGAUGUAUCCGAGUGAUAAUCCGGGAUACAUCCCAAAUGUGCAAAAAAAUUUAGCAUAUAUUGUUAACAAUCAUAUUAAGAGAUUAUUGCCUUCAAAGCGUAAUCCAUUUUUGGUAGCCUGUCGUUGGCUUUUAUUAGCUUUCGCUUUGAUGAACAAUGUGCUAUGGACUUUCAGUGUAUGUCUAAACCAAUUUGAGGGGCUGCUAUAUAGUUCUGAUAUUUUUCACAGAUUCGGUUGUUGGAAAAUGCCUUGAAUUUAUGAUACUCUGUUGAGUUCUUUGCUCUGUUUUGGUGGUUUUCCUCUUGCUUGUUAGAAUGGUCUUUCAACAUUUUUGCUUUCCUUUUCACCAACCCUCUUAAAUGUCGGUCCUAGUAGACGUGCUUGCAUUUUGUUUCUUCUUGUAGCAGCAAGUGAAAUAGUUGUAGACUUUUAACAAAAUAAAGAAUUUACUUUCCUAGUUAUUCCUUUUAUUGUUUAGGUGACGAAUGGAAUCCACGAUCAAGCAUGCUGUGGUGGUGAAAGUUAUGGGUCGGACUGGAUCUCGAGGGCAGGUGACUCAAGUGAGAGUCAAGUUUCUGGAUGAUCAGAAUCGUUUCAUCAUGAGGAAUGUCAAGGGACCAGUGAGGGAGGGGGAUAUCCUUACCUUGCUCGAGUCUGAGAGGGAAGCCAGAAGAUUGCGUUGAUAGGAGAUGGGUUUUCUUCGCUGAUGCGUUUACUUCUCAGCUUCGGUUAGUUGCAAACAACUGUUAUUUAUGCUACUGGUGAACUGCAGUUACGUUGCAAAUCACUAUUCUUAUAUUUUUAGUUUAUGUUUCUUGGUAUUAUUAGCAUCACGAACUUGGUAUAUGGAACCUUUUAAACUUCUAUUUCUGAAAAUCCUUAGGUUUGGUUGAACAUGUAGGCCCAAUGGACAUCAUCUUGGCUAAUAAUUCAAUAAUAUUUCCA